CCAGGUGACAUUGAGGGAUCUUCAGGUGACACUGAGGGACAUUGGGUGGCAUUUAUGGACCUUCAGGUGACAUUGAGGGACCUCCAGGUGACACUGAAGGACCUUCAGGUGACAUUGAGGGACAUUGGGUGACAUCUAUGGACAUUGGGUGACAUUUAUGGACCUCCUGAGGAACCUCCAGGUGGCAUUGAUGGACCUUCAGGUGACAUUGAGGGACAUUGGGUGACAUUGAUGGACCUUCAGGUGACAUUGAAGGACUUUGGGUGACAUUCAUGGACCUCCAGGUGGCAUUGAGGGACCUCCAGGUGGCAUUGAGGGACCUUGGGUGACAUUGAGGGACUUUCAGGUGGCAUUGAAGGACCUUCAGGUGACAUUGAUGGACUUUGGGUGGCACUGAGGAACCUCCUGAGGAACCUCCAGGUGACAUUGAUGGACCUCCAGGUGGCAUUGAAGGACCUUCAGGUGGCAUUGAUGGACCUUCAGGUGACAUUGAGGGACCUUCAGGUGACAUUUAUGGACCUUCAGGUGACAUUGAGGGACAUUGGGUGACAUUUAUGGACCUGCAGGUGACAUUUAUGGACCUCCAGGUGACAUUGAAGGACUUUGGGUGACAUUUAUGGACCUGCAGGUGACACUGAGGGACUUUGGGUGGCAUUGAAGGACCUUCAGGUGGCAUUGAUGGACCUCCAGGUGACAUUGAGGAACUUUGGGUGGCAUUGAGGGACCUUCAGGUGACGUUGAGGGACAUUGGGUGGCAUUUAUGGACCUCCAGGUGACAUUGAAGGACCUUCAGGUGACCCUCAAGGACAUUGGGUGGCACUGAGGAACCUCCUGAGGAACCUCCAGGUGACAUUGAGGGACCUCCAGGUGGCAUUGAGGAACCUCCAGGUGACAUUGAGGGACAUUGGGUGACAUUUAUGGACCUGC
RNAcentral lists this long non-coding RNA (927 nucleotides) under Zonotrichia albicollis (white-throated sparrow). RNAcentral describes it as "lncRNA (ENSZALG00000001837.1)". The record is from RNAcentral. Lineage: Eukaryota; Metazoa; Chordata; Aves; Passeriformes; Passerellidae.